AAGCCAGUUGCAGAAGUCGUUCUACUUCUACCUAAAGACUGAUUUAGAGACUGAAGUUUUGUAUCAUGUUCAUGCUGACCUUACAAAGGUCAGGCGGGGAGUGAGUUUCCUUUAAGGCAUUUGUUUAGCUUUAUUACAUUUUCGCUUCAGUAAUUCAUUUGUAAUUAUUUUCUAGUUAAAGUUAAGGUUGUUGAAAGUAAAUUCAUUGUCUGUGAUGUAUCGCGGUAUGCGAUGACGUCACACCCGUUUUUGCCGCGUCUUGUGGGAAAAUACCGGUUUGGAGAAACGGGAAGGAGGGGGCUUGUGUGUGCAGGAUCAGUGCAGGAAAAGUUUUCUUUCUAUGCACUAAGAACCAUCAUAGAAGCAACGCUACACUGCCAAUUUUUUUUAUAUGAAGACCAGAAUUACAACUCAAAUCACCACCAGAGAUGACAUUGUCGAGCCAAAAGGUGUCCAGUCUCAUCCUUGUUCAGUCUUAUCCUUACUCAAAAUGGCAAGGAACAGAAGAUGAGUGAAAAGGCUUACAGGAAAAUCAAGAAUUUAUUGAAGCAACACACACAAAAUGCUGGAGGAACUCAGCAGGCCAGGCCGCAUCUAUGGAAAAGAGUACAGUCGAAGUUUUGGACUGAGACCCUUCAUCAGGACUCAUUUAUGAAGAACUAGAUAUAAACAAAGACUGACGAACCACCAAUGUCUAAAAGAAGAGAAAUUGUGCAAAUAAAGUAAAUAAAUAAAUAAUACUGAGAACAUGAGUUGAGGAGUCCUUGAAAAUGAGUCCAUUGGUUAUGUAAGCAGUUCAGAACUGAGGCAAGUGAAAUUAUCCACGCUGGUUCAGGAGCCUGAUGGUUGAAGGGAAACAACUGUUCCUGAACUUGGUAGUGGGAGCCCUUGAUGAUGGCUGCUGCUUUCUUGUGGCAGUCCUCCUUGUAAAUAUGCUCAAUGGUGGGAAGGCUUUGCCUCUGGUGGAUUGUAUCCACCACUUCUAGUUAGUUUAUAUGCACAGAGUGCUUAAGAUCUCAGCUAAGAUCACUGGCACAGGUGAUUGUGUGUCAUUUUUGUAUAAUAUUGAUCUGAAUGUGUGGCCCAGGAAUAGUCCUGCCCAGAUGUGCAGAAGCCAACUCUGUAAUGAAUGAUUAGUCUACUUUGGUGAUAUGUGAAGUGAGCCGACAUAACCAGUUCCAGCUCCAUGGAAUGCAGGGUUGCAAACCAAUGGAAAGUUGGCCCAUUUUAAAUGUUUUCCCCUUGAAGGAGGUCACUACCUGGAAUUCCCAAGGAUCACAUACUUGGACUGAUCAUGACCUUAACCUGCACUCAACCAUGACUGCUUUCUCAGCCAACUGUAAAUCCAAUUCUACAUCUGCUAUGACCCCACUGAACAGACUCAGUUCACAAGAAUCACAAAGCCAAUCACCCACCACCUGGUAGAAAACAAUACCCAUCUCUGCAAGAGACCUCCUUGCCCCACAACACUUCACAGGGCUCUAUCGGACUUCGUCAAAAUGAUGAAAUAACUGUAAUAAUGGCCUCUGUCAGCAUUGAACUUGGAAGGAAGGCUCUAUGCAUAACAGAAUUUUGUUAUGUUUCAUCUCACACAAAAUGUCCAUUAAGCCACCGUGUGUUUAUUAUGCUUUUCUUGACAUGAAAGAACUUCAAGGCCUAUAUUAGAACAAUUUUGUCAUUUCUCUCUAUUUUUGCACUCCAUACUCAAUUCAAUAAAUGCCAAUGCUGUUUGCCUUUUCUGUGUAUUGAUUAUAUUUAUACUUUCAGAGAAGAUAUUAAAACAUUAUGUUGCUAAUGCUCCAUACCCUUCAGUGCCCUUCCACUGAGGUUCGUUUUAAAACUGACUUCCUCAUAUCAACUAAAAUUAAACAAACUGUUGACACAUUCUGCCAGUUCACCCAUGUUCUUGCGCAUUUUUAAAUUACUUUUACUGCUUCUAAACAUUGCUUUCAUGUUGUCAGAAUGAUUGACAAUUAGUCUUCAUACCAAAGUCCUAACCUUUCUAAAUGGAGAAAACCAGCCUGCAUGGUGACCCAUGGAAUUGACCUUCCAGCAACCUUUCCAACCUUCCUUCAAUUUGAGCAACACUAGAACUGGAGACUAAUUCUACGUUAGUCAACCAAAUUUUUAUUAAUGUUGAUUUCUUCUAAACUAUGAAUUUGACC
Hypanus sabinus (Atlantic stingray) is the source of this 2165-nucleotide long non-coding RNA. RefSeq lists it as uncharacterized. The transcript has 4 exons. Lineage: Eukaryota; Metazoa; Chordata; Chondrichthyes; Myliobatiformes; Dasyatidae. The record is from RefSeq and is a predicted model, not a curated record.